CAUUACAGAUGUUUCUGCUUUAACUGAGUCUUUGACAAACACAAAAGCACUGCAGUUUCUAAAAGAGCUUGAUCUGAGCAACAAUAUAAUUGGAGACUCAAAGCAGCUACUCACUGAUGUGCUACAAGACUCCAACUGUGAACUGAGACUAGAGAGUGAGGAUUGGGUUCCUGGGUGAAUGGUAUAAAUGGGUGGAAGAGGAGCAGUAAUGAUCAGGUUCUUCGGCUUGAAAGUAAACAUCUGCUAUUAAGCGCAUACCAGCUUGAGUACCAAGGUGUGCUGGAAUGUUUUCACCAGACUCUUAAGAUCAUGUUGUGAACAAUCUGUGAGCAAACAAGCUGAGACUGGGAUGCCGAUGCUAAUGUUUACCAUACAGGAACCGCAAACCUCUGGACCUGCUGAUCCGGUAUUCUUUCACACCAUGUGUGGUCCCCUUAAAAUGUUUAGAAAAAAUUUAGAAGGAAAUAAUUCAUUUCCAUGUUUGAGAGCAAUUGCACCAUUCCUGCAAAACUGCUAAGAAAAACUUGAUGAUGACUCUAGCAAUAAUGGAGAAGAAAAAAAUUAAAUAGAAUAUGUAUUGCAGUGUCCAGGGAAAUCAUUCAGUUCUCAUUUAACUAUCAAUCUCUGGUUCUCUGUUACAAGUCAGAUUAUCAGGACCUUAUGAAGUUAAAGCUUAGUUAAGUUUAGGAUGAAUUGUGAUCGUAAAAAGAAAACUUGUAUCAGUCAUGUAAAUAUGCUGUCUGGUUGUUCGGUGACAAAAUAUAAAAUACAUAGUUUCAAUAAACAUUUAAUUAAUACGUUCAACAAUUUAUGACUAUUAUUCUACAGCAUGGAACUGAAGAAAAAAGCAUGGUUUGAUUAUGGUUAGUUAUUUGAGCUCUCAUUUUCACCAUUAGGUUCCCAAACCAAGUGAAAAUACCAUAAUGUAAAUCUCACUCUAUUGUGGAUAGUCUAUCACAGGGGUGUCCAAACUCAGUCCUGGAGAGCCGGUGUCCUACAGAGUUUAGCUCCAACACACCUGAAUAAGCUAAUUAAGGUCUCCAGAUCACUAGGACAGGUAAGGACAGGUGAGUUUGAUCGAGGUUGGAGCUAAACUCUGCAAGAACAUAGAGCUGAGAACCAUUUCAUCACAAAUUGAUUUGAUUGCAGACUGACAAAUAAAUUAGUUUAAAGAGUGAACAAAAAUGGUGAGCUUACACAAACCUGUGCUACAUACCGCAAUAUCAGACAGUCCUUGAUACAUUUCACUUGUUGUGUCCUGUUUGAUAAAACAGAACAAUAACAAUACAUCAAAAAAGUCUACUUAAGCAUGUAAAGAAGAAGCAAGAGUAAAUUUAUAAUAAUGUCAGCUAAAUUAAAUGACUCCCAAUGAUUCAUUUUUAUAUUGUGCAGUGGUCAGCACUCAUCAGUGUCAAAAUGUUUGAAAUGGACAAUCAAAUGUUACUGUUCAAAGAAGUCAAGGCCACGCAGGAAAAUAAUUCCAGCACGUGCAUUUUAAUGCUAAUGUGAGGUAAGAUGUAAGCAGCUGAACAUAACGAGGCAUAAUACAGAAAUAUUUGUCAAUUGUUUAAGAUAGAAAUGUUAAAUAGUUUGGCCAUCAGUCUGGUUUUAAAAAAUCAUGCCCGUAUACUAGUAUAUCUUUGAGCUGGAUGCUUAUUUGUCCACCUUUUAAGAACAUCACUAUUUUAAACUCUACCCAAUGGUAUCUAAUAAAUAAAUAAAGGAGUUAAUGCUCUC
Carassius auratus (goldfish) is the source of this 1737-nucleotide long non-coding RNA. RefSeq lists it as uncharacterized. The record is from RefSeq and is a predicted model, not a curated record. The transcript has 3 exons. NCBI's taxonomy places the organism in Eukaryota, Metazoa, Chordata, Actinopteri, Cypriniformes, Cyprinidae.